GACGAACGCUGGCGGCGUGCUUAACACAUGCAAGUCGAACGGAAAGGCCCUGCUUUUGUGGGGUGCUCGAGUGGCGAACGGGUGAGUAACACGUGAGUAACCUGCCCUUGACUUUGGGAUAACUUCAGGAAACUGGGGCUAAUACCGGAUAGGAGCUCCUGCUGCAUGGUGGGGGUUGGAAAGUUUGGGCGGUUGGGGAUGGACUUGCGGCUUAUCAGCUUGUUGGUGGGGUAGUGGCUUACCAAGGCUUUGACGGGUAGCCGGCCUGAGAGGGUGACCGGGCACAAUGGGCCUGAGAUACGGCCCAGAAUCCUACGGUAGGCAGCAGUGGGGAAUAUUGCACAACGGGCGGAAGCCGGAUGCAGCAACGCCGCGUGCGGGAUGACGGCUUUCUGGUUGUAAACCGCUUUCGCCUGUGACGAAGCGUGAGUGACGGUAAUGGGUAAAGAAGCACCGGCUAACUACGUG
This 468-nucleotide ribosomal RNA is filed under the name uncultured bacterium. Its description in RNAcentral is "partial 16S ribosomal RNA". It matches the Rfam family "Bacterial small subunit ribosomal RNA", at positions 28 to 507 of the family's 1533-position model. The record is from RNAcentral.